Triticum dicoccoides is the source of this 162-nucleotide long non-coding RNA. RefSeq lists it as uncharacterized. The transcript has 2 exons. Lineage: Eukaryota; Viridiplantae; Streptophyta; Magnoliopsida; Poales; Poaceae. The record is from RefSeq and is a predicted model, not a curated record.
GUGAGCAAGUCAUGUAUAAAGCAAAAACAAAAUAUUGGUCUGCUAUCAAAUGGUACAUUUAUUUGAACUCUAAGGGCAGGUUCAGGGUCUCAUGAAGAGGGCAUGUGUUUGUAUUAGAUCAGAAGGUUUUGCAGUUGACAAGCUUACAGGUUUGAGCACCCC